RNAcentral lists this non-coding RNA (30 nucleotides) under Rattus norvegicus (Norway rat). Lineage: Eukaryota; Metazoa; Chordata; Mammalia; Rodentia; Muridae. The record is from RNAcentral.
UACAAAAUUCAUCCGGAAGCGAGCCUCCUC